AUUGAACGCUGGCGGCAGGCCUAACACAUGCAAGUCGAGCGGAUGAGGGGAGCUUGCUCCCUGAUUUAGCGGCGGACGGGUGAGUAAUGCCUAGGAAUCUGCCUGGUAGUGGGGGAUAACGUUCCGAAAGGAACGCUAAUACCGCCUACGUCCUACGGGAGAAAGCAGGGGACCUUCGGGCCUUGCGCUAUCAGAUGAGCCUAGGUCGGAUUAGCUAGUUGGUGAGGUAAUGGCUCACCAAGGCGACGAUCCGUAACUGGUCUGAGAGGAUGAUCAGUCACACUGGAACUGAGACACGGUCCAGACUCCUACGGGAGGCAGCAGUGGGGAAUAUUGGACAAUGGGCGAAAGCCUGAUCCAGCCAUGCCGCGUGUGUUAAGAAGGUCUUCGGAGUGUAAAGCACUUUAAGUUGGGAGGAAGGGCUGCUGGUUAAUACCCUGCAGUUUUGACGUUACCAACAGAAUAAGCACCGGCUAACUUCGUG
This 484-nucleotide ribosomal RNA is filed under the name uncultured bacterium. RNAcentral's name for it is "partial 16S ribosomal RNA". It matches the Rfam family "Bacterial small subunit ribosomal RNA", at positions 30 to 507 of the family's 1533-position model. The record is from RNAcentral.